This 277-nucleotide non-coding RNA is filed under the name Phascolarctos cinereus (koala). The record is from RNAcentral. Lineage: Eukaryota; Metazoa; Chordata; Mammalia; Diprotodontia; Phascolarctidae.
AGAUAUGGUGGUGCAGGCCUGUCACCCCAGCUAUCAGGGAGACUGAGGCUAGCAGUUCCCCUGAGCUCAGGAGUUCUGAGCUACAGUGGGCUACACUGAUCAGGUGUCUGCAUGAAGUUUGGUAUUAAUAUGGCAAGUCCUAUGAGAACUGAGAGUAACUAAGUUGCUUAGGGAGGGGCAACAGGUCGGAAACAAAAUAGAUCAAAGCUCCCAUACUGAUCAGAGUAGGAUCAGGCCCAUGAGUAGCACCUGGAAAAGACAGGGAGACCUAGUCUUU